GCCGGCGGCGUUCCCCGCUCCRCUCCCGCUGCCCCCGUCCCUGAAGCCGCCGGCCCCUCUCCCCAGGCCCCCCCAGGACAUCAGCCUGGAGGAGUUCGACGACGAGGACCUGUCGGAGAUCACAGACGACUGCGGCAUCGGACUCAACUACGACUCGGACCACUACGAGAAGGACUGCCUGGUGCUGGAGCGCAGCGAGCAGCCGCACCCCGUGUGCACCUUCCAGGAUGACUUCCAGGAGUUCGAGAUGAUCGACGACAACGAGGAAGAGGAGGAGGAAGAGGACGAGGAGGAGGAGGAGGAGGAGGAGGAGGAGGAGGGCAACGAGCUGGAAGCUCCACCGUCGCCUUCGGCCUCGCCCAUCCCCUCGCCCGCCGUGGAGGAGACGCAGAAGCACCGGCCCACCACCCUCAACCUGACAGCGCCGGGCACCCAGGACUCCCUGAACAACAACGGCAGCUACCCACCUCCCGCUCCCGCGCAUCGGACCACGUGGCAGGACGCCCUUCUCCACUGCUCCUCCUCCUCCUCUUCCUCGCACGCUGGGCACGCGUCUCCGCACCCCUGCAUCCAGGACGGACCCUGCCUGGAAAGCCGGAGGCGCCCGGGGCCGAGCCCAGGGGAGGCCGUGCCGACCCCGACCCCGGCCCCGCGGCC
Molecule: long non-coding RNA, 657 nt
Filed under: Apteryx rowi (Okarito brown kiwi)
Lineage: Eukaryota; Metazoa; Chordata; Aves; Apterygiformes; Apterygidae
Description: lncRNA (ENSARWG00000014137.1)
Source: RNAcentral